RNAcentral lists this ribosomal RNA (253 nucleotides) under uncultured bacterium. RNAcentral describes it as "partial 16S ribosomal RNA". It matches the Rfam family "Bacterial small subunit ribosomal RNA", at positions 524 to 776 of the family's 1533-position model. The record is from RNAcentral.
UACGAAGGGUGCAAACGUUGCUCGGAAUUAUUGGGCGUAAAGCGCACGUAGGCGGCUUUGCAAGUCGGAUGUGAAAUCCCUCGGCUCAACCAAGGAAGUGCAUCCGAAACUGCAGAGCUUGAGUACUUAAGAGGAUCGCGGAAUUCCCGGUGUAGAGGUGAAAUUCGUAGAUAUCGGGAGGAACACCAGUGGCGAAGGCGGGUCUCUGGACAGUUCCUGACGCUGAGGCACGAAGGCCAGGGGAGCAAACGGG